GGGCAGGCGCCGGAGAUGGUGAGCCGGGCCGGUCUGUAAAAUCGGUGGCAUACGCCUGAGUGGGUUCAAAUCCCACCCUGCCCACCU
RNAcentral lists this transfer RNA (87 nucleotides) under Anaerolineaceae bacterium. RNAcentral describes it as "tRNA-Tyr". It matches the Rfam family "tRNA". Rfam says of the family: Transfer RNA (tRNA) molecules are approximately 80 nucleotides in length. Their secondary structure includes four short double-helical elements and three loops (D, anti-codon, and T loops). Lineage: Bacteria; Bacillati; Chloroflexota; Anaerolineae; Anaerolineales; Anaerolineaceae. The record is from RNAcentral. RNAcentral also lists the same sequence under 1 other name.